Molecule: ribosomal RNA, 646 nt
Filed under: Salmonella enterica
Lineage: Bacteria; Pseudomonadati; Pseudomonadota; Gammaproteobacteria; Enterobacterales; Enterobacteriaceae
Also listed under: 1 other name
Description: partial 16S ribosomal RNA
Rfam family: Bacterial small subunit ribosomal RNA
Source: RNAcentral
AAAUUGAAGAGUUUGAUCAUGGCUCAGAUUGAACGCUGGCGGCAGGCCUAACACAUGCAAGUCGAACGGUAACAGGAAGCAGCUUGCUGCUUCGCUGACGAGUGGCGGACGGGUGAGUAAUGUCUGGGAAACUGCCUGAUGGAGGGGGAUAACUACUGGAAACGGUGGCUAAUACCGCAUAACGUCGCAAGACCAAAGAGGGGGACCUUCGGGCCUCUUGCCAUCAGAUGUGCCCAGAUGGGAUUAGCUGGUUGGUGAGGUAACGGCUCACCAAGGCGACGAUCCCUAGCUGGUCUGAGAGGAUGACCAGCCACACUGGAACUGAGACACGGUCCAGACUCCUACGGGAGGCAGCAGUGGGGAAUAUUGCACAAUGGGCGCAAGCCUGAUGCAGCCAUGCCGCGUGUAUGAAGAAGGCCUUCGGGUUGUAAAGUACUUUCAGCGGGGAGGAAGGUGUUGUGGUUAAUAACUGCAGCAAUUGACGUUACCCGCAGAAGAAGCACCGGCUAACUCCGUGCCAGCAGCCGCGGUAAUACGGAGGGUGCAAGCGUUAAUCGGAAUUACUGGGCGUAAAGCGCACGCAGGCGGUCUGUCAAGUCGGAUGUGAAAUCCCCGGGCUCAACCUGGGAACUGCAUUCGAAACUGG